CCACCCAUUAUCGAAUUUAACGAGAUUUGAGGAUCCCAUGUGAAGUUGAAGAAGCACUAUCCCCACUGCUAUUUCCCUUUCUAAACAAUUGGAACUCACAGGAAUCAUGCCAACGCUUGUUACUUUGAGCAUCUUGGUCACUGUUUCUGCCAACUAAGAGGAAUGAGUUCCGCUUUUUCUGCGUGUGGCAAGAUUCUCAAGAUGGGUUAUCAGCCAAAUACCAUAAUCUUGAUUACAAUUAUGAGGGGUCUCACUCAAAAUAGAGAGGUGAAGACAGCGUAGCACUUUCAUGACAGGGUGAUAGCCAGAGGAUUUUAGAUGAGCAACAAAACAUUGAUAGGCUUUGCAAGUACAAACUUGUGACUUAUGCAAGUGAAUUGUAUUCUGAAAUGUAAGGGCAGGCAAAAGAUUCAAAUUUUAAGUUUUAAUCUAUGAUACUCUAAAUCCAUAUUGUUUUAUAUCCAUUUAAAUGGAUAUAUCCAGAUCCAUAUUUUUGGAUUUUAAAUCCAAUCCUUGGAUUUGGAUUGGAUAUAUUUUGAUUUUGAAAAGAUAAAUAUCAAUCCAUAUUGUAUUUGGAUUGUAUUUAGAUUGAAUAUUUUGGAUUUUGAAAAUCCAAAAUCAAGAUACGUUUAAGUCGAACUAAGGCGGAUGAGGAUUAGGUUGAAGGUCGAGAAGAGUCAGACCCUACCGAAGGUUAGUUGAAUUAACACGAGUUGGUCUAAAUUGAAGAUUGACUCGAUCCCACCCAACCAAAGAUCGGCUUGAGUCGAUCCCGUCUAAAGAUCAGCCCUAGUUAAUCCUUGUCCAACAUCAGCCUAAAUUAGCCUAGGUCAAAGGUUGACCUAAGUCGGUCUCUAAAGGAUAGCCUGCAUUGGCCAUGUCAAAGGUUCAUCUGGCCCUAGUUGAGUUGGCCAAGGCCGAAGGUCAACCUAUUCAAUCCCGGUUGAAGAUCGAUUGAGUAUAUGCCUAUCACAUGCUAGCCCGAGUUAUUCCCAACCAAGAGCAACCAGUUGCGGCACAAGACCCUGCUAACGUCCCUCUGUAGGUAUAUUCUGUGGUUCUCUCAGUUUGUGUCACCGUAAGGGAAGCAACUGGCUUAUGUGGUUCUUUUUUCCUUGAACUAAGUACUUGUCUUUGCUAUGCUGUGCCUUGUUAGAUUUCUUUUUCCCUUGAUACAUUCUAUAAGGCAGUGGAUGCCACAUCUUGUAUUUCUUAGCACAUUGAUGGAUCUGUCUGCAUAUGGUUAAGAACCUGUUGCCACCAAUGUUGUUGGAUACAUGUUAAAUGCUUUUGGUUA
Vigna radiata var. radiata (mung bean) is the source of this 1297-nucleotide long non-coding RNA. RefSeq lists it as uncharacterized. The transcript is spliced from 2 exons. Lineage: Eukaryota; Viridiplantae; Streptophyta; Magnoliopsida; Fabales; Fabaceae. The record is from RefSeq and is a predicted model, not a curated record.